UACGUAGGGUGCAAGCGUUAAUCGGAAUUACUGGGCGUAAAGCGUGCGCAGGCGGUUCUAUAAGACAGAUGUGAAAUCCCCGGGCUCAACCUGGGAACUGCAUUUGUGACUGUAGAGCUGGAGUGCGGCAGAGGGGGAUGGAAUUCCGCGUGUAGCAGUGAAAUGCGUAGAUAUCAGGAGGAACACCGAUGGCGAAGGCAGGUCUCUGGGCUGACACUGACGCUCAUGCACGAAAGCGUGGGGAGCAAACAGG
Molecule: ribosomal RNA, 253 nt
Filed under: uncultured bacterium
Lineage: Bacteria
Description: partial 16S ribosomal RNA
Rfam family: Bacterial small subunit ribosomal RNA
Source: RNAcentral